GGAGAUGUAGAUGGAUGGUUUGUGUAAUCAAAGUAUCAAGAUCACUAACUUGACAACAUUUUCUUAGCAGAGUACUCUUGCUUGAUGUCAUUGUUAGAGUCUUUUAUACCAAUGCCAGUCAGUCACAAUCCCAAUUACUCCUUUUUCAUUCAUUUUCGUGUGAUUGAAGUGAGAGUAAAUUGGUUAAAUGUGUACUUCUAUGCGUAGAGGAUAUAGAUCCAUUAAUGAGUUAUGCAGUGAUGUUUUUUUUUCAGAAAUUAAAUGACAUAGGCCACAACUCAUCAAAUCUUGAAGCUGCUUGAAAAAUGAUGGUCUCUUAGACUCACUUUUAUCUACUUGUAUUUUAAAUAUUCUAAAAUGUUGCCAAUAACUUGGAUGCGCUUGGCCAUUUUACAUGUUGGUUGAUAUAUUAUGUAAUUAAAUAAGGCUUCAACUCUAUUAAUUAUUUCAUAAUUCUCUCCACUUAUGUUAUCUUUUUAUAUGCUGUACUUACGUAAAUGUAAUGAUACGAUAGUAUAUUUAUUAUAGUAUAUUUUGUAUUAAACCCUCAGGUCAUUCAAGUCCUGAGGUUCUCUUUAAUUCAACUUUGUAGACAACUAUCAUCCAAAACAUGUAGGACUGAUCAAACUUUGGCAGAUGAUGGCAGAUUUUGAGAGAUA
Molecule: unclassified non-coding RNA, 659 nt
Filed under: Hevea brasiliensis (rubber tree)
Lineage: Eukaryota; Viridiplantae; Streptophyta; Magnoliopsida; Malpighiales; Euphorbiaceae
Source: RNAcentral